GUUGUUCUUCUUCAUCAACACCAUCUUCUAGGGUUUCUUUUAGGGUUUUCCAGAAGCUUCUUGAAGCUGGAUUCUCCUUCCUUCUUUCUUCCCGUCUCUCACCGUCGCUGGUUCACUGGUUUCAUUGAUUAAUCCUUAAGAAACAACUUUUUUCAAUCUCCCUUUACCGUCGCUACUGAAACCCUGAUCUGUAUUGUGAAUUACCGGAUAAAAACGGUAUCUUUAGGGUUCUUGGUAUCUGGGUCGAUCUGGGUUAUGAGUUUCACUCCAAAAUCUGUUCGAUUAGGGCAAGGUUAGGAAAAUUUACAGCUUUAAUUAUUGCG
RNAcentral lists this unclassified non-coding RNA (323 nucleotides) under Hevea brasiliensis (rubber tree). The record is from RNAcentral. Lineage: Eukaryota; Viridiplantae; Streptophyta; Magnoliopsida; Malpighiales; Euphorbiaceae.